GCUCGGAUGGCAGAUCGGCAAUGCGACCGCCUGCAGUUAAGAUAGUUGAGAGCGGUUCAGGGGAGUUCAAUUCUCCCUCCGAGCU
RNAcentral lists this transfer RNA (85 nucleotides) under Candidatus Levyibacteriota bacterium. Its description in RNAcentral is "tRNA-OTHER". It matches the Rfam family "tRNA". From Rfam's summary of the family: Transfer RNA (tRNA) molecules are approximately 80 nucleotides in length. Lineage: Bacteria; Candidatus Levyibacteriota. The record is from RNAcentral.